This 90-nucleotide transfer RNA is filed under the name mine drainage metagenome. Its description in RNAcentral is "tRNA-Ser". It matches the Rfam family "tRNA". From Rfam's summary of the family: Transfer RNA (tRNA) molecules are approximately 80 nucleotides in length. Their secondary structure includes four short double-helical elements and three loops (D, anti-codon, and T loops). The record is from RNAcentral.
GGAGAGAUGGCAGAGCGGUUGAAUGCGGCGGUCUUGAAAACCGCUGAACCUUCACGGGUUCCGUGGGUUCGAAUCCCACUCUCUCCUCCA